CAGCGGGACCGGGCCCCUCUGACGGCAGCAAUGCCGUGAUGUCGGACCGCAUCG
Paracoccus sediminis is the source of this 54-nucleotide non-coding RNA. The record is from Rfam. NCBI's taxonomy places the organism in Bacteria, Pseudomonadati, Pseudomonadota, Alphaproteobacteria, Rhodobacterales, Paracoccaceae.